UUGGAGGGCAAGUCUGGUGCCAGCAGCCGCGGUAAUUCCAGCUCCAAUAGCGUAUAUUAAAGUUGUUGCAGUUAAAAAGCUCGUAGUUGAAUUUCGGGAUCAGUAAGUUGGUCGUGCCUCCGGUAUGUACUGGCCUUACUGGUUCCUCCUUCUUGAAGAACUGUAAUGUCAUUAAUUUGGUGUUGCAGGGAAACAGGACUGUUACUUUGAAAAAAUUAGAGUGUUUAAAGCAGGC
Molecule: ribosomal RNA, 235 nt
Filed under: uncultured Glomus
Lineage: Eukaryota; Fungi; Glomeromycota; Glomeromycetes; Glomerales; Glomeraceae
Description: partial 18S ribosomal RNA
Rfam family: Eukaryotic small subunit ribosomal RNA
Source: RNAcentral